RNAcentral lists this ribosomal RNA (345 nucleotides) under uncultured archaeon. Its description in RNAcentral is "bacterial SSU rRNA". It matches the Rfam family "Archaeal small subunit ribosomal RNA", at positions 19 to 368 of the family's 1478-position model. The record is from RNAcentral.
GGACCUGACUGCUAUCGGAUUGAUACUAAGCCAUGCGAGUCAUUGUAGCAAUACAAGGCAUACGGCUCAGUAACGCGUAGUCAACCUAACCUAUGGACGGGAAUAACCUCGGGAAACUGAGAAUAAUGCCCGAUAGAACAUUAUGCCUGGAAUGGUUUAUGUUCCAAAUGAUUUAUCGCCGUAGGAUGGGACUGCGGCCUAUCAGUUUGUUGGUGAGGUAAUGGCCCACCAAGACUAUUACAGGUACGGGCUCUGAGAGGAGUAGCCCGGAGAUGGGUACUGAGACACGGACCCAGGCCCUAUGGGGCGCAGCAGGCGAGAAAACUUUGCAAUGUGCGAAAGCAC